Long non-coding RNA from Sycon ciliatum, 264 nucleotides. RefSeq lists it as uncharacterized. The transcript has 3 exons. NCBI's taxonomy places the organism in Eukaryota, Metazoa, Porifera, Calcarea, Leucosolenida, Sycettidae. The record is from RefSeq and is a predicted model, not a curated record.
GGAUCAUGCUUUCUGCUGUAGCAGCAGAACCUGAUCAAGCAUCAUUCCAUUGAGGAAGAUAUGAUGUCAAUGAAUUCAACUCUUCAAGCACACGAAAAUAAGAUGACGAUGAAACUCUUUUCAAUUGAGGAAGAAAUGACGUCACUGAAUUCAACCCUGAAAGCACAGGAGAAAAAGACCAAGGAACAUUUCCGCAACAUGAGGAAACAUUCUGCUGAAAGGUUUGCGUCACUCAAUACUACUCUGGAGGAAGAAGGUUUUAAG